GCAAAAUGAUUCACACUGAUGGAGGACAGCCGAAAAGUUUGCAGUAGGCUACUCAGUGGAUGAUGUAGGAAAUGCUUUUUCACACAACUUGUGUGGCAACCUAAACUUGCAUCCUAAAAGAAUCAACAGCAUGCCAAUGGAAAAUUUAAAAAUUGAGGCUUCGCUUUUGUUUAAGAGAUAAUAAGACAAUAGGGGUGGGCAGGUGGAUUUAAGGGCUGUAAUGCAGGAUCAGAUCAGCUGCUCCUCCAGUGUUUGAUCAUGGUACCCACUCAACAUCUAUAAGGGCUGGCAGGCUGCUCAAUCAUGAGGCAUGACAGUCAAUUCCAAUCCCUUCCUCUUCUAGGAGUCAUAAGCUUUACAUUUCAGCAAGGAUUCAUCAGCUACCAUUCCUGGGACUUGCCAAUGUUCAAAUCUAUUGGUAAUUAAUACAAGAGAUUGGUAUCCAGAUUUGGUGAUAUCAAGCCUGAAGAGUUAUUGGCAACCAUAGACUUGUGUUGGAUUGCUCCAUGAUUAAUAUUGGAAGUGCCAGACCAGAGAUCUCCUUUAUUCUUACACCUACCGUCAGAUGUACUGAAAGGAUUCACUGACCAUCAUUCAGCCUCUUUGAUUGCAUUGUGAAAGCCUAUCUCAAAAGACCAUAAGACAUAGGAGCAGAAAUUAGGCUAUUUGGCCCAUCGAGUCUGCUCUGCCAUUC
Chiloscyllium plagiosum (whitespotted bambooshark) is the source of this 694-nucleotide non-coding RNA. The record is from RefSeq and is a predicted model, not a curated record. Lineage: Eukaryota; Metazoa; Chordata; Chondrichthyes; Orectolobiformes; Hemiscylliidae.